AGAUGGGUGAAAUAUGAUGAGUGUACAAACUCUUGAUUAAAAAAUGAUAACUUUUAAGAUCCAACUCUGAUUUCAUCCAGAG
Small nucleolar RNA from Lagenorhynchus albirostris (white-beaked dolphin), 82 nucleotides. RefSeq annotates it as small nucleolar RNA SNORD19B. Lineage: Eukaryota; Metazoa; Chordata; Mammalia; Artiodactyla; Delphinidae. The record is from RefSeq and is a predicted model, not a curated record. The transcript has a single exon.